Molecule: ribosomal RNA, 1552 nt
Filed under: Klebsiella oxytoca
Lineage: Bacteria; Pseudomonadati; Pseudomonadota; Gammaproteobacteria; Enterobacterales; Enterobacteriaceae
Description: partial 23S ribosomal RNA
Rfam family: Bacterial large subunit ribosomal RNA
Source: RNAcentral
AUAGGGGAGCCGCAGGGAAACCGAGUCUUAACUGGGCGUUAAGUUGCAGGGUAUAGACCCGAAACCCGGUGAUCUAGCCAUGGGCAGGUUGAAGGUUGGGUAACACUAACUGGAGGACCGAACCGACUAAUGUUGAAAAAUUAGCGGAUGACUUGUGGCUGGGGGUGAAAGGCCAAUCAAACCGGGAGAUAGCUGGUUCUCCCCGAAAGCUAUUUAGGUAGCGCCUCGUGAACUCAUCUUCGGGGGUAGAGCACUGUUUCGGCUAGGGGGUCAUCCCGACUUACCAACCCGAUGCAAACUACGAAUACCGAAGAAUGUUAUCACGGGAGACACACGGCGGGUGCUAACGUCCGUCGUGAAGAGGGAAACAACCCAGACCGCCAGCUAAGGUCCCAAAGUCAUGGUUAAGUGGGAAACGAUGUGGGAAGGCCCAGACAGCCAGGAUGUUGGCUUAGAAGCAGCCAUCAUUUAAAGAAAGCGUAAUAGCUCACUGGUCGAGUCGGCCUGCGCGGAAGAUGUAACGGGGCUAAACCAUGCACCGAAGCUGCGGCAGCGACGCUUAUGCGUUGUUGGGUAGGGGAGCGUUCUGUAAGCCGUUGAAGGUGGCCUGUGAGGGUUGCUGGAGGUAUCAGAAGUGCGAAUGCUGACAUAAGUAACGAUAAUGCGGGUGAAAAACCCGCACGCCGGAAGACCAAGGGUUCCUGUCCAACGUUAAUCGGGGCAGGGUGAGUCGACCCCUAAGGCGAGGCCGAAAGGCGUAGUCGAUGGGAAACAGGUUAAUAUUCCUGUACUUGGUGUUACUGCGAAGGGGGGACGGAGAAGGCUAUGUUGGCCGGGCGACGGUUGUCCCGGUUUAAGCAUGUAGGCGGAUGUUCCAGGUAAAUCCGGAACGUUAUUAACGCUGAGGUGUGAUGACGAGGCACUACGGUGCUGAAGUGACAAAUGCCCUGCUUCCAGGAAAAGCCUCUAAGCAUCAGGUAACAUCAAAUCGUACCCCAAACCGACACAGGUGGUCAGGUAGAGAAUACCAAGGCGCUUGAGAGAACUCGGGUGAAGGAACUAGGCAAAAUGGUGCCGUAACUUCGGGAGAAGGCACGCUGAUGGUAAGUGAAGUGACUUGCUCAUGGAGCUGAAAUCAGUCGAAGAUACCAGCUGGCUGCAACUGUUUAUUAAAAACACAGCACUGUGCAAACACGAAAGUGGACGUAUACGGUGUGACGCCUGCCCGGUGCCGGAAGGUUAAUUGAUGGGGUUAUCCUCACGGAGAAGCUCUUGAUCGAAGCCCCGGUAAACGGCGGCCGUAACUAUAACGGUCCUAAGGUAGCGAAAUUCCUUGUCGGGUAAGUUCCGACCUGCACGAAUGGCGUAAUGAUGGCCAGGCUGUCUCCACCCGAGACUCAGUGAAAUUGAACUCGCUGUGAAGAUGCAGUGUACCCGCGGCAAGACGGAAAGACCCCGUGAACCUUUACUAUAGCUUGACACUGAACACUGGUCCUUGAUGUGUAGGAUAGGUGGGAGGCUUUGAAGUGUGGACGCCAGUCUGCAUGGAGCC